Ruditapes philippinarum (Manila clam) is the source of this 4648-nucleotide long non-coding RNA. RefSeq lists it as uncharacterized. The record is from RefSeq and is a predicted model, not a curated record. The transcript has 8 exons. Lineage: Eukaryota; Metazoa; Mollusca; Bivalvia; Venerida; Veneridae.
GCACAUUUUCAGCAUAUUUAAGCACUUUUUAAGCACUUUUCAAGAGAGUAAUCAAAUUCAAGGACUUUUAAGCACUUUUUUUCAUUUUUAAGCACUUUUUAAGAAAGGGACUCAAAUUUAAGCACUUUUUAAGAAUGUACGAACCCUGUUGUUGCCGGAAACUGCUGAUACAGUCAUUAACUCAUUUCAACAGCAAUGUAACUUUUAAUUUCAACAGAUUUCUGAAAGCCUAUCCCAAAUGUCAGCCAUAACACCAGCUCCGCCUCUGGAUUUAGGCUAAAGAUACUUCAGCGAACAGGUUUUAUAGUACUUUCGCAAUGUCAAAUAAAAGCGACAUAUAAACAGAACUAGGAACUAGAUCUGCAGCCGUUGAUCCGUGUUCGCCAAUGAUUAGGCCAUACAAACGUAUCAGGAUCAGCUACCUGACAGUGACACUGAUUCUAAUUAAUAUGAAUUAGGCAAAUUAUAUACCUGUUAUGUUGUGGCGUUCACUGGUUUGAUUAAAAAUCUUGUUUUGUUUAUAAUUCCCACACACCUUGUGAAUGAAAAAAAAAAUUGCGGAUAUACGGAUUGAACUGAGCUGACUUGGAUUCAAGUGGAGUAAUUCAAUAGCUUUAUCCGCCAGAAACUGUUGUUUACUCUGAAUAAAUUUACAAAACGAUUUUUUCUUUUUUCUGUUUGACAUAAAAUAAUGAAUAAGACCCUGUCUAGUGAAUUAUAUAUUAACAAGAGCCAACGCCGGGCGGGGGCUACGCUCGACUUUUUACUUUCUCUAAAAGCAAACAAAGAAAUGUUUGAACAAAAUAUUAAUCAUAAUUAAUGUUUCCUUUUUUAUAAAAUUAAUCAUUCUGUUUUGUCACAUUAGUUUUGUCUAUAUAUUCUAUAUACAUAAAUUUACUAAUUUAUAUAUAUAUAAAUAGAGACACCCAAUUCGAAGUCACAUGGUGGUGUCACGUGGUGGAGUCACGUGGUGGUGUCACGUGGUGGUGGAGUCCAGUGGUGGAGUCACGUGGUGGUGUCACCUGGUGGAGUCACAUGGUUGAGUCAUGUGGUGGUGCCACGUGGAAGUCACACGGUGGAGUCAUGUUGUGGAGUCACGUGGUGGUGUCACGUGGUAGUGUCACGUGGUGGAGACACGUGGUGGAGUCACGUGGUGGUAUCACGUGGUGGAGUCAUGUGGUGAAGUUUGAAGACAAUCCAUUCAAAAAUAACAAAGUUACAGCCAAUAACAGCAUGAACAAGCAAAAUUUGGACUUUUAACCUUGAAGGUCAAGGUCAUUUAUGGAUGAAGGUCAAGAUAGAGUGAAGUGUCUGGCUCCUAAUGAAUGAAGAUAUAUUUAAGUCUUACCUACCUGCUUAUGGUGAUAGAUUAGCUGCCUAUACUUUCUGCAGAAGUAAAAAUGAAAAGUUAAAAGGUGAGAAGUGCUCAGAUGUUUUAUGAUGAAUUACGUUCAAAAUGGAAACAUGAUCGACAUGGAAUCAGAAGACAAGGUUUCAAACCUGGCAAUUUAUCUGCUGAAAGAACAUCAAAAAGAGUUGAACUAGGAUGAAUGGAUUACAAUGAGAAGUUAAAGGAUUAUAAACAAGUGUGGCAAGUUGGUGGAGGAGGUGUUUGGCACCUCACUGUUCAGAAAACACUUCCUGUUAAGACACUCUUGGGGCACGCUAAGGAUAUAUUUUUUUCCGUUGGGCAUUUCCAAACAUGGAUUACUUGAAGAGUUUGAUGUAGAAGUCAAAAAUUUUCAAGGCAUGUCUAUGAACUCAGAUAUGACAAUUAAUGAUCUCUGUAUUCAGUCAAAGUUAAAGAUCCUUAGAGUGUAUAUGUAUACCAAAAGAAAGACAGAAAAGGUUUCAUUAUAAAUUAUUUGCUAGACUUAUAUCAAAGUGGCAUAAUGCUCAUUAUUGUCAGGUUGGGCUAAAGUAACUAUACAUUUCAAAAGAUUGAACAUUAAAAUGGUGACUGACCAAUAGUUGAUAAUGAUAACUGUUUCUAUUAUAUAAAGACUGUCACACUCCUUUUAUAUGCCUGUUUGAAAAACAUGACUUAUUAUAGAUUCACCUGUGGCAGGCGGGCGAGCGGCGUCCAAGAUGUUGUCUGCUCAAUUAACUUGAGUAACCUUUGACGUACAUUAAUGAAACUUAGUGACAAUGCGUUAGGCCAAGUUCGAUAAUCAGUAAAUUUGCUCCAGUACAAGUUGGAUAUGAGGGACAGGCUAGCUCCAAGAGUUUGUCCACUACAAUGGAUAUAAUAUUGCCAGACCCAGAGAACUUGACCACAUCACCAUGUUGUAUCCAAGAAUCAGUUCUGUCCAACUCAGAUAAAGUGACUGGAUCAUCUUAUUUGUUUUCUUGUAUUGAAGAACACAGUCUGACAGUGAAAGUAUACCAGAUUUGACAGGAACAGAUGUGCUGGAUUUAUCCAUCUUACAAAUGGACCCACCUUCACAGGCAGAUACUUCUAGCUUUAUUGAUGCAGGCACACCAACUGUACAGUUUAGAGAACAAUCAUUGACCUUAGAUGAUACAUUUGCUACAACAGCAUGUACAGGCCCUACAUGGAGAUCCACUUGUUUAAGUUUACGCAGAAAUUCAGAAGCUACAGCUCCUAACCCUGACAGCAGUUAUUCAACAAUGGUGACAAUGGUGUGUCUAAGCAAUGACACCAUAGAGAUAAAAGACAGCAAUGAUGAGGCAAUAGAGCUGAGUUAGAAUCUACUCCACAGAUGGAACACAGUAAUGUAAGAUUAGAUAAUUGUGACAUGAAUGUGGGGCAUAACGUCCAAGAAUUCCAAGGAAAAUAUAUUCAAAGUGACCUAAGAUCAACUUAUAUAGUUUCCCACAGAAAUCCACUUGAGUCUGCAAUAAGAGCUCUUCAGAGAAAGACUCCAGAAGACCUCAAAUGCAGGUUAUUUGUAAAGUUUACAGGUGAAAUGGGGCAGGACUUCGGUGGUCCCAGAUGUGAGUUUUUUAGCUCGACUUUUCUAUGAAAAGGGGAGCUAUCCUACUCGCCCCGGCGUCGGCGUCGGCGUUGGCAUCACACCUUGGUUAAGUUUUUCGUACCACCCCACUUUAUUUCAGAAGUAUUACAAGUAUGGCUUUGAAACUUACCAUACUUGUUCACCAUCAUAACCUCCAUCUACAGACAAGAGUACAUAACUCUGUCAAGGUUUUUGACAGAAUUAUGGCCCUUUUUUGACUUAGAAAGUGUAUUGAGCUUGGUUAAGUUUUUUGUACCACCUCACUUUAUUUCAAAAACCAUUGGAGGUAUUGCUUUGAAACUGACCAUACUUGUUUACCAUCACGACCUUCAUCAACAGACAAGAGGACAUAACUCUGUCAAGGUUUUUGACAGAAUUAUGCCCCUUUUUGACUUAGAAAAUCAUUGAAUAUGGGUAAAAUCCACUUAUUGCCUUAACCCUUUGAGAUAUUGCUUUGAAACUUUUAAUGCUAUUUCACAUCAUUACCCCAUCUGUACGCAAGAGAAGGUAACUCUGUCAAGGAUUUGUUUUAAAAAUUAAGGCCUUUUAUCGACUUAGAAUCUUGGUUAAGUUUUUAGUACCAGUCCACUUUUUGACUGAACUGUUUGAGAUAUUAAUUUGAAAGUUGGAAUACUUGUUUACAAUCAUGAUUCCCAAACAUGUCCAGGAGAAGGUAAUUCUGUCAAAGAUUUUAUUUGAAUUAUGGCCCUUAACUGUCAAUGUUUUGUAUUAUAGGCAAGCACUAAAAAACUUAAAAAAUCUAAAAAAAUUCAUUCCUAUCCACUUGUUCACUUUACCAUAAAUUAUGUCAUAUAAACAUUGCUGUAAUAUUCAAGGGUAUCAAACAACUAGUUUCACUUUAAAAAUACAGAGAUUCUUGUAUUGCCUUUUACUGCAAAAACUUUUUUUAUUGGCAAGCAAUAAAAAAGUCGAGCGCGCUGUCUUACGGACAGCUCUUGUUAGGUAGGUGAUCUAUAUGUUUUCAUGUACAAAACAGUUUUCAUUCCUCAACCUCUUUGGAGGACUUAACUGUUAGCAUUACUGACUGCUUAUCUCACCAGUGUUGUGUUCUUAGACUCCUUUGUGUCCUGUCUAAUUAUAUAAAAUACUUUCUCUGCAUAAAGUAUGAAACUUAAAUGGGGCUUCAGUGGCCGAGUGGUUAAGGUCGUUGACUUCAAACCACUUGCCCCUCAAUGCUGUGGGUUCAAAGCCCGACAGGGACUUUGGAUUCUUUCAUGUGAGGAAGCUAUCCAGCUAGCUUACGGAACGUCGGUGGUUUUUACUCAGGUGCCCGUUCGUGCCUGAAAUAAUGCACGGAAGGGCACCUGAGGUCUUCCUCCACCAGUAAAGCUGGAACGUCGCGAUAUGACCUAUACUGUGUCGAUGUGAAUUUUCUUCAUUGGAAUUUGACACAAAUACAUUGGGGAUCAGCUGAAGCUGAUUAAUCACAAAAUAUUUUUUUAUACUUCUGUCACAAGUUAUUCCAAAAAUAUAGUUUAUACAUCCAAAGAACUUUCUAAGAAAAAUUUAAAGCAUGUGAAUGUGUUUAUUUUAUUGAAAAAAGUGCACAGGUAUAGCCUUUUAUAUAACAAAAAUUUGCAUAUUUUCAAUUUUGUUAAGUAUAUCACUGUAAAAGUAUAAAUGUUUAUACUGCAUAAAUAAUAAUGUUG